CGCACCUUGCGCUCCUUGGUAUUCCGAGGAGCAUGCCUGUUUGAGUGUCAUGAAAUUCUCAACCUCUCUGGUUUUCUGACUAGUUAGGCUUGGAUCAUGGAAGUUGUUGGCUCAAUUUGAAUCAACUCUUCUUAAAUAUAUUAGCAAAGGCUUUUGCUGACCAUCAUUGGUAUGAUAAUUAUCUAUAUCAUUGGUAGCCAGUUCCCUUCACAGGGGGUCUUGCUUCUAAUCGUCGUUUCGACAACUUGACAACUUUGACCUCAAAUCAGGUAGGACUACCCGCUGAACUUAA
Molecule: unclassified non-coding RNA, 292 nt
Filed under: Entoloma sp.
Lineage: Eukaryota; Fungi; Basidiomycota; Agaricomycetes; Agaricales; Entolomataceae
Description: partial contains 5.8S ribosomal RNA, internal transcribed spacer 2, and large subunit ribosomal RNA
Source: RNAcentral